GACGAACGCUGGCGGCGUGCUUAACACAUGCAAGUCGAACGGUGAAGGGACCAGCUUGCUGGUUCUGGAUGAGUGGCGAACGGGUGAGUAACACGUGAGUAACCUGCCCCCUUCUCCUGGAUAACCGCAUGAAAGUGUGGCUAAUACGGGAUAUUCUGGGUCUGUCGCAUGGCGGGCCCGGGAAAGCUAUUGUUUCGGUGGGGGAUGGGCUCGCGGCCUAUCAGCUUGUUGGUGGGGAGAUGGCCUACCAAGGCGGUGACGGGUAGCCGGCCUGGGAGGGUGGACGGUCACACUGGGACUGAGACACGGCCCAGACUCCUACGGGAGGCAGGAGUGGGGAAUAUUGCGCGAGGGGCGCAAGCCUGAUGCAGCGACGCCGCGUGAGGGAUGGAGGCCUUCGGGUUGUAAACCUCUUUCGCCAGUGAAGCAGGCCUGGUCCUUGUGGGUGGGUUGACGGUAGCUGGAUAAGAAGCGCCGGCUAACUACGUG
RNAcentral lists this ribosomal RNA (489 nucleotides) under uncultured bacterium. RNAcentral describes it as "partial 16S ribosomal RNA". It matches the Rfam family "Bacterial small subunit ribosomal RNA", at positions 28 to 507 of the family's 1533-position model. The record is from RNAcentral.